GGGCGCGCCGAGUCCUUGCUCUAACCCUAAUUGCGCUUCUGAAUUCCAGGGGGCGUGGCCAAGCCCCAGACUCGCCGGCCCCUGGACCACUUCACUUUCCCUUUUUGCUCUGGUCCCAGAGCAGUGUCGGGAUCUGGGAGCCCUGGAUGGGGACAGGUGGAAAAAAGGCUGAUUUUUGAGGGAGAGGGCUCCAGGAGAAUGGCAUGGAGACCCCGAAGCGAGCCCCGAGCCUUUCCUGACACCACAGAAGAAACUGAAGCCAGUGAGGACACCUGGGCGGGAGUUGGAGCCUGGGGAAGGGCCCAAAGGGCCCUUUGGUUUAGCGGAAGUUGUUCGCUGCAGGCUGGUCCGGGACUUGGAGCGACCUGACGUGGGAGGAGCUGGAAAAUUCAAGCUGUACCUGGUGGGAUUUAUCCCCAGGUGCUUGCUGAAGAAGGCCGAUCGCACAAAAGUGGCAGAUCUCCUGGUCAUUUUUCUUGGUCAGCAGGAGGCCUGGGAGAUUGCUCUAAGCAUCUGGAAGAAGAUGGGCCUGAGGGAGCUGUGGGAGCAAGGCAGGAAGGAGGCUCUUGGAUUAGUUCCUGCUACAGUUCUUCCAGCCGCCUCAGGUCUGUAACCACUGUCAAUGUACAAGUCUAGGCGCAAUUAGCGUGUUUUUUUUCUCAUCUGUCAUCCUGGAGCUCAGAUUGUCUGUUAAUGGGGUGCCAUCAGUAAAAUUUAAGGGGAUGUGCUGCAGGAACCUGGACCAAUUCCCCAACCAUUGAGUGAAGUAAAAUUUUGUGGGUUCUAGAAGAUAAUAUAUCUCCUAGGAGGGCAAGAUGGAAAAAUACUGCCAGUGCCCUUAUUUAUUAUAAGGUGAAAUGGUCAGACCUAUGCUGUAUUGAUGUUAGAGGUAGUAGAGAACUGCUGGAGUUUAUUGAUGAGAAGAAUGACAUGAUCAGACCAAAUGUUGUAGCCCUCUAUGUGAAAUAGGGAGGAGAAAGGGAAACACACUCGUGAGAUUUCAAUGUUCAAAUGAAAUUUGCUAAAGGAUAUUCCUUACAGAUAUCUAGAGAAAGCAUAGGAAGCUGCAGGCCUCCUACUCCGUAUCCAGGCUGAGGUGAUGAUUCGGCACUUACCCCAACUCUGAUGUGUUUUACAGAUUCUCUCUCCUUUUUCAGGGUUUUAGUAUAGUUACUUGUGGGUAACAAGGGAUUAUCUUCUACCUCUGCUUUCAGAUCUGUGCUUUGGGUUUUUUUGAACACAGUGAUUGGUUG
RNAcentral lists this long non-coding RNA (1253 nucleotides) under Phascolarctos cinereus (koala). RNAcentral's name for it is "lncRNA (ENSPCIG00000027234.2)". Lineage: Eukaryota; Metazoa; Chordata; Mammalia; Diprotodontia; Phascolarctidae. The record is from RNAcentral.